GCCUUCGUGGUGUAAUGGUCAGCACACUAAGUCGGUAUUUCAGAGGUCCGUGGUUCGAUUCCCGGCGAAGGAA
Molecule: non-coding RNA, 73 nt
Organism: Stegodyphus mimosarum
Lineage: Eukaryota; Metazoa; Arthropoda; Arachnida; Araneae; Eresidae
Source: Rfam